CUACGGGGUGCAGCAGUGAGGAAUAUUGCACAAUGGGGGGAACCCUGAUGCAGCAACGCCGCGUGGAGGAUGACGCAUUUCGGUGUGUAAACUCCUUUUAUAUGCCAAGAAAAUGACGGUAGCAUAUGAAUAAGCACCGGCUAACUCCGUGCCAGCAGCCGCGGUAAUACGGAGGGUGCAAGCGUUACUCGGAAUCACUGGGCGUAAAGGACGCGUAGGCGGGUUGGAAAGUCAGGUGUGAAAUCCUACAGCUUAACUGUAGAACUGCACUUGAAACUUCUAAUCUAGAGUAUGGGAGGGGGAGAUGGAAUUAGUGGUGUAGGGGUAAAAUCCGUAGAUAUCACUAGGAAUACCUAAAGCGAAGGCGAUCUCCUGGAACAUUACUGACGCUAAGGCGUGAAAGCGUGGGGAGCAAAUAGGAUUAGAUACCCGAGUAGUC
RNAcentral lists this ribosomal RNA (439 nucleotides) under uncultured bacterium. RNAcentral describes it as "partial 16S ribosomal RNA". It matches the Rfam family "Bacterial small subunit ribosomal RNA", at positions 339 to 795 of the family's 1533-position model. The record is from RNAcentral.